RNAcentral lists this ribosomal RNA (253 nucleotides) under uncultured bacterium. Its description in RNAcentral is "partial 16S ribosomal RNA". It matches the Rfam family "Bacterial small subunit ribosomal RNA", at positions 524 to 776 of the family's 1533-position model. The record is from RNAcentral.
UACGUAGGUGGCAAGCGUUGUCCGGAUUUAUUGGGUUUAAAGGGUGCGUAGGCGGUUCCAUAAGUCAGUGGUGAAAUACGGCAGCUCAACUGUCGAGGUGGCAUUGAUACUGCGGGACUUGAGUACAGACGAGGUAGGCGGAAUUGACGGUGUAGCGGUGAAAUGCUUAGAUAUCGUCAAGAACACCGAUAGCGAAGGCAUCUUACUAGACUGAAACUGACGCUGAGGCACGAAAGUGUGUGGAUCAAACAGG